GUGAGGAAUAUUGGUCAAUGGACGGAAGUCUGAACCAGCCAUGCCGCGUGCAGGAAGACGGCUCUAUGAGUUGUAAACUGCUUUUGUACGAGGGUAAACGCAGAUACGUGUAUCUGCCUGAAAGUAUCGUACGAAUAAGGAUCGGCUAACUCCGUGCCAGCAGCCGCGGUAAUACGGAGGAUCCAAGCGUUAUCCGGAUUUAUUGGGUUUAAAGGGUGCGUAGGCGGUUUAGUAAGUCAGCGGUGAAAUUUUGGUGCUUAACACCAAACGUGCCGUUGAUACUGCUGGGCUAGAGAGUAGUUGCGGUAGGCGGAAUGUAUGGUGUAGCGGUGAAAUGCUUAGAGAUCAUACAGAACACCGAUUGCGAAGGCAGCUUACCAAACUAUAUCUGACGUUGAGGCACGAAAGCGUGGGGAGCAAACAGGA
This 426-nucleotide ribosomal RNA is filed under the name uncultured bacterium. Its description in RNAcentral is "bacterial SSU rRNA". It matches the Rfam family "Bacterial small subunit ribosomal RNA", at positions 354 to 777 of the family's 1533-position model. The record is from RNAcentral.